RNAcentral lists this unclassified non-coding RNA (152 nucleotides) under uncultured Pleosporales. RNAcentral describes it as "sequence contains ITS2". Lineage: Eukaryota; Fungi; Ascomycota; Dothideomycetes; Pleosporales. The record is from RNAcentral.
GUACCCUCCAGCCCUGCUGGGUGUUGGGCGUUUGUUCCGCUGCGUGCGUGAACUCGCCUCAAAUACAUUGGCAGCCCGCCGUCCCGUGUGGGAGCGCAGCACAUUUGCGCUCUCCGCUGCAGACGGCGGCAUCCACAAGUCUACACCUUUAC